RNAcentral lists this ribosomal RNA (468 nucleotides) under uncultured bacterium. Its description in RNAcentral is "partial 16S ribosomal RNA". It matches the Rfam family "Bacterial small subunit ribosomal RNA", at positions 28 to 507 of the family's 1533-position model. The record is from RNAcentral.
GACGAACGCUGGCGGCGUGCUUAACACAUGCCAGUCGAACGGAAAGGCCCUGCUUUUGUGGGGUGCUCGAGUGGUGAACGGGUGAGUAACACGUGAGUAACCUGCCCUUGACUUUGGGAUAACUUCAGGAAACUGGGGCUAAUACCGGAUAGGAGCUCCUGCUGCAUGGUGGGGGUUGGAAAGUUUCGGCGGUUGGGGAUGGACUCGCGGCUUAUCAGCUUGUUGGUGGGGUAGUGGCUUACCAAGGCUUUGACGGGUAGCCGGCCUGAGAGGGUGACCGGCCACAUUGGGACUGAGAUACGGCCCAGACUCCUACGGGAGGCAGCAGUGGGGAAUAUUGCACAAUGGGCGGAAGCCUGAUGCAGCAACGCCGCGUGCGGGAUGACGGCCUUCGGGUUGUAAACCGCUUUCGCCUGUGACGAAGCGUGAGUGACGGUAAUGGGUAAAGAAGCACCGGCUAACUACGUG